AGAGUUUGAUCAUGGCUCAGGAUGAACGCUAGCUACAGGCUUAACACAUGCAAGUCGAGGGGCAGCAUGUUGGUUGCUUGCAACCAACGAUGGCGACCGGCGCACGGGUGAGUAACGCGUAUCCAACCUACCCUUGUCCAUCGGAUAACCCGUCGAAAGGCGGCCUAACACGAUAUGCGGUUCACAGCAGGCAUCUAACGUGAACGAAAUGUGAAGGAGAAGGAUGGGGAUGCGUCUGAUUAGCUUGGUUGGCGGGGUAACGGCCACCAAGGCUACGAUCGAGUAGGGUCUGAGAGGAGGUCCCCACAUUGGAACUGAGACGACGGUCCAAACUCCGUACGGGAGGCA
RNAcentral lists this ribosomal RNA (348 nucleotides) under uncultured bacterium. Its description in RNAcentral is "bacterial SSU rRNA". It matches the Rfam family "Bacterial small subunit ribosomal RNA", at positions 8 to 350 of the family's 1533-position model. The record is from RNAcentral.